RNAcentral lists this ribosomal RNA (763 nucleotides) under uncultured Actinomycetes bacterium. RNAcentral describes it as "bacterial SSU rRNA". It matches the Rfam family "Bacterial small subunit ribosomal RNA", at positions 72 to 845 of the family's 1533-position model. The record is from RNAcentral. Lineage: Bacteria; Bacillati; Actinomycetota; Actinomycetes.
UCCGGUGCUUGCACCGGUGAAGAUCUAGCGGCGAACGGGUGAGUAACACGUGAGCAACCUGCCCCGAUGUCUGGGAUAACUCGAGGAAACUCGGGCUAAUACCGGAUGUCGUCUUCGGACCGCAUGGUCUGAUGACGAAAGAUUUAUCGCUUCGGGAGGGGCUCGCGUCCUAUCAGCUUGUUGGUGAGGUAACGGCUCACCAAGGCUUCGACGGGUAGCUGGUCUGAGAGGACGAUCAGCCACACUGGGACUGAGACACGGCCCAGACUCCUACGGGAGGCAGCAGUUAGGAAUCUUGCGCAAUGGGCGAAAGCCUGACGCAGCAACGCCGCGUGCGGGAGGAAGGCCUUCGGGUUGUAAACCGCUUUCAGUGGGGACGAAAACAGACGGUACCCACAGAAGAAGCCCCGGCCAACUACGUGCCAGCAGCCGCGGUAACACGUAGGGGGCGAGCGUUGUCCGGAUUUAUUGGGCGUAAAGAGCUCGUAGGCGGCUUGGUAAGUCAGGUGUGAAAACUCCGAGCUCAACUCGGAGACGCCAUCUGAUACUGCCAUGGCUAGAGUCCGGUAGGGGAGUGCGGAAUUCCUGGUGUAGCGGUGAAAUGCACAGAUAUCAGGAGGAACACCGAUGGCGAAGGCAGCACUCUGGGCCGGUACUGACGCUGAGGAGCGAAAGCGUGGGUAGCAAACAGGAUUAGAUACCCUGGUAGUCCACGCCGUAAACGUUGGGAACUAGGUGUGGGGAUCUGUCAACGAUCUCCGUG